CGGCCGUGUAUCAGCCCUCCAAACCGCACGCAACGGACAGCAGUAAAAAACUGCCCCACACAUACGCACCUCACGCGUCCCAGCGAAGAAGAAUGAGAAAACGGUGGAGAGAUUAGAGCCGGCUCCGAGCAGCCGAACAUCGCCUCUGCGGAGAGGCUGCGCCGCACAGCCGUGAGGACCAGAGAAGAGUACGCCACCGGGCCAGGAACCUGCUGCCGCGAACCGCCGCGGCGGGCAGGGAAGGAGAGCCGCCGCGGAUUUGGGAGGAGCGUCGUCGCAGGGGUAGGGAGAGCGCCGCCCGGACCAAGCUCCUGCUCGACCGAUCAAGGACUCUCAAUUCCGGCCGCCUGCAGCACAUCAGGCCAUCAGCUAACAGAAUGGCGGCACCGGGCAAAGCUAGCGGUAUGCAACAGCAGAGAGGCCGUUGAUUUGCUUAUAUCUGGUUCUGCUAUUAAGUUACUGAAGCAAGACACCUUUUUCCUAUUGUUCUGGUGAAUUCGUCUCAGUGCAUUCAUCCUCUGAGUCAUCUGAUAUCACAACAGAUCUCAAGUCUCCUUAUAUUGCCACUAUGGGGCUCACGUGCUGGCGCUGCUGAUAUAUUGUGUUGACGCCCAUCUUUGUUUAAUGUACUCCCAUUACUGUCAAUGUGAUUUCUCUUUCACACGCAUUAGUUCACAUGAAAGUUUGCCCGGCGAGAAGUGCUUUGGAGUGACUCUUCCAACGUUGACUAGAGCAAUUGGGCGCAAGGCUUUGCCGGGCGUCGGGCGUGCUUUGCCAUGACAUCGUCGGACGUCGAGUGAAGCGUCUAGGCAUGGAUUUUCGUGGUAGCUCUGUCGACUUCAAUAUGUUCAAGACGCGGUGGUUGUCGACUUCUAAUUGAUUGGCGUGUGACCGUGCGGCUGGUUGUACUUGCUUAUAUGUGUUGAGGUGGCUGGGUUUGAGGUGGCCGAGACGUCUGGAAAUCUGAUCAUGACCUUGUCAUAUUUAUUUAUUUUUUGGAAUUUUCAUCACGUGGGAUCUGAUAGUUGUCCUUAUUUGUUUAGGUUUGCAUGCAUUCGUUCCUGUUUUGGAUUUUUCAUCACGUGAGAUACGUAUCCAACAUGGAUCCUUUCCAAAAAGUUCCAAGUUUUAUCUCAACAGUAA
Aegilops tauschii subsp. strangulata is the source of this 1143-nucleotide non-coding RNA. NCBI's taxonomy places the organism in Eukaryota, Viridiplantae, Streptophyta, Magnoliopsida, Poales, Poaceae. The record is from RefSeq and is a predicted model, not a curated record.